UACAGAGGUCCCAAGCGUUGUUCGGAUUCACUGGGCGUAAAGGGUGCGUAGGUGGUGGGGUAAGUCGGAUGUGAAAGCUCGGAGCUCAACUCCGAAAUGGCAUUGGAAACUACCCUGCUAGAGGAUUGGAGGGGGGACUGGAAUACUUGGUGUAGCAGUGAAAUGCGUAGAUAUCAAGUGGAACACCAGUGGCGAAGGCGAGUCCCUGGACAAUACCUGACACUGAGGCACGAAAGCUAGGGGAGCAAACAGG
RNAcentral lists this ribosomal RNA (253 nucleotides) under uncultured bacterium. Its description in RNAcentral is "partial 16S ribosomal RNA". It matches the Rfam family "Bacterial small subunit ribosomal RNA", at positions 524 to 776 of the family's 1533-position model. The record is from RNAcentral.